AUUGAACGCUGGCGGCAGGCCUAACACAUGCAAGUCGAGCGGAUGAAGGGAGCUUGCUCCUGGAUUCAGCGGCGGACGGGUGAGUAAUGCCUAGGAAUCUGCCUGGUAGUGGGGGAUAACGUCCGGAAACGGGCGCUAAUACCGCAUACGUCCUGAGGGAGAAAGUGGGGGAUCUUCGGACCUCACGCUAUCAGAUGAGCCUAGGUCGGAUUAGCUAGUUGGUGGGGUAAAGGCCUACCAAGGCGACGAUCCGUAACUGGUCUGAGAGGAUGAUCAGUCACACUGGAACUGAGACACGGUCCAGACUCCUACGGGAGGCAGCAGUGGGGAAUAUUGGACAAUGGGCGAAAGCCUGAACCAGCCAUGCCGCGUGUGUGAAGAAGGUCUUCGGAUUGUAAAGCACUUUAAGUUGGGAGGAAGGGCAGUAAGUUAAUACCUUGCUGUUUUGACGGUACCAACAGAAUAAGCACCGGCUAACUUCGUG
RNAcentral lists this ribosomal RNA (484 nucleotides) under uncultured bacterium. Its description in RNAcentral is "partial 16S ribosomal RNA". It matches the Rfam family "Bacterial small subunit ribosomal RNA", at positions 30 to 507 of the family's 1533-position model. The record is from RNAcentral.